Molecule: long non-coding RNA, 514 nt
Filed under: Hordeum vulgare
Lineage: Eukaryota; Viridiplantae; Streptophyta; Magnoliopsida; Poales; Poaceae
Description: long non-coding RNA (HVUL_LNC012157)
Source: RNAcentral
AUACAUGCUUCCAUGCUAGUUGUAUUUAGUAGGGUGUUGUUGUGCAUCUUUACCACUACUGCCUCAUGUCUUGUUUGAGCAUUUUAGAUUUAUGUAGCUUGUUGUUUUGGGUGCAGAAAAUGCCAUGUUGCUGUUUUGGGCAGAUUGUAGCUAUUCCUUGUUUAGCUUGUAGUUGUUGAACCGUUGCUCCGUUUUGAUCGUGCCCUAUAUGAAACUUGCUUAGAAUCUCGUGUAGUUUCAUAUUAUCUUGCUGCCUUCUGGUUUGGAAUGCUUGUGGCUGGCAUUCGCAUACAUAUUGCAUUCAUGCCAUCAUAUCUUGCGGUGUUCGUAUCUUUUGAACCGUAGCUCCGUUGGAGAUGUUCUCUAUGUGUAAAUUGAUUGUAACGACAUGUAGAAUCACGUGAACAUAUUUAUUUUUCUGUUUAACAAAUAUUAAAACAUGUUAGUUCAGAUCUGGACAUAAUUCUCAUCUAACGUGUGGGUCAUCUCGGAGAUGCUAUAUGUUGUUUCCGAC